RNAcentral lists this transfer RNA (67 nucleotides) under Rubiconia intermedia. Its description in RNAcentral is "tRNA-Asn". The record is from RNAcentral. Lineage: Eukaryota; Metazoa; Arthropoda; Insecta; Hemiptera; Pentatomidae.
UUAAUUGAAGCCAAAAUAGAGGCCUUUCAUUGUUAAUGAAAUAAAUGAUAUAAAUUAUCCGAUUAAA